GACGAACGCUGGCGGCGUGCUUAACACAUGCAAGUCGAACGGAAAGGCCAUGCUCUUGUGGGGUGCUCGAGUGGCGAACGGGGGAGUAACACGUGAGUAAUCUGCCCUUGACUUUGGGAUAACUUCAGGAAACUGGGGCUAAUACCGGAUAGGAGCUCCUGCUGCAUGGUGGGGGAUGGAAAGUUUCGGCGGUUGGGGAUGGACUCGCGGCUUAUCAGCUUGUUAGUGGGGUAGUGGAUUACCAAGGCUUUGACGGGUAGGCGGCCUGAGAGGGUGGACGGCCUCCUUGCGACUGAGGUACGGCCCAGUCUCCUACCGGACGCAGCAGUGGGGAAUAUUGCACAAUGGGCCGGAGCCUGUUGCAACAACCCCGCGUGCGUGAUGACGGCCUUCGGGUUGUAAACCGCUUUCGCCUGUGACGAAGCGUGAGUGACGGUAAUGGGUAAGGAAGCACCGGCUAACUACGUG
RNAcentral lists this ribosomal RNA (468 nucleotides) under uncultured bacterium. RNAcentral describes it as "partial 16S ribosomal RNA". It matches the Rfam family "Bacterial small subunit ribosomal RNA", at positions 28 to 507 of the family's 1533-position model. The record is from RNAcentral.